GGGAUGUUAGCUCAGUGGUAGAGUGCCUGCCUAGUAAGUAUGAGGCCCUGGGCACGAUCCCCAGUUCCA
This 69-nucleotide transfer RNA is filed under the name Ictidomys tridecemlineatus (thirteen-lined ground squirrel). RNAcentral's name for it is "Spermophilus tridecemlineatus (thirteen-lined ground squirrel) tRNA". It matches the Rfam family "tRNA". Rfam says of the family: Transfer RNA (tRNA) molecules are approximately 80 nucleotides in length. Their secondary structure includes four short double-helical elements and three loops (D, anti-codon, and T loops). The record is from Rfam by way of RNAcentral. Lineage: Eukaryota; Metazoa; Chordata; Mammalia; Rodentia; Sciuridae.